RNAcentral lists this ribosomal RNA (460 nucleotides) under uncultured bacterium. Its description in RNAcentral is "partial 16S ribosomal RNA". It matches the Rfam family "Bacterial small subunit ribosomal RNA", at positions 338 to 795 of the family's 1533-position model. The record is from RNAcentral.
CCUACGGGGUGCUGCAGUGAGGAAUAUUGGUCAAUGGACGAGAGUCUGAACCAGCCAAGUAGCGUGAAGGAUGACUGCCCUAUGGGUUGUAAACUUCUUUUAUAUGGGAAUAAAAUGUUCCACGUGUGGGAUUUUGUAUGUACCAUAUGAAUAAGGAUCGGCUAACUCCGUGCCAGCAGCCGCGGUAAUACGGAGGAUCCGAGCGUUAUCCGGAUUUAUUGGGUUUAAAGGGAGCGUAGGUGGAUUGUUAAGUCAGUUGUGAAAGUUUGCGGCUCAACCGUAAAAUUGCAGUUGAAAAUGGCAGUCUUGAGUACAGUAGAGGUGGGCGGAAUUCGUGGUGUAGCGGUGAAAUGCUUAGAUAUCACGAAGAACUCCGAUUGCGAAGGCAGUUCACUGGACUGCAACUGACACUGAGGCUCGAAAGUGUGGGUAUCAAACAGGAUUAGAUACCCGAGUAGUC